Molecule: long non-coding RNA, 1697 nt
Organism: Panicum hallii
Lineage: Eukaryota; Viridiplantae; Streptophyta; Magnoliopsida; Poales; Poaceae
Exons: 3
Source: RefSeq, a predicted model, not a curated record
UGCUUUUAGUUUCAUUAGUCAUGUACUUGUACGCACUUGGUUUGGUUGCCUGGUUGCUGCUUCUGCCGUAGAAGUGACGGCGUUUUACUCAGCUGUUCGAUUCUGUCCUGUUGAUUGGGAGCAAUGUGUUUUCUCAGGGUUGUCUCCUUAGGCUUGCUUGGCAUUUUUCUUAUUGCGGGAAUAAGAGGUUUAAUGAAUCGGGGAAAUUAUAACUGAAUACUGAACACGAGAUAAAUACCCCAGUAGAAAUUCCGCAUUUUUUUAAUUUGCUCAGUAUUAAAUUGUGACCCUGGCAGUGUAACCGGUCAAUUAGCAUGGCUGCUGUUUGAAAGAUUGGAUGAAUGGAUGCCUAACUCUAGGCUGCUGAUGCAAAUGUAUGAUUAGUGUUACUACUACCCUGCUGUUAUUAGGAUCUAUGAUUUCAGCUUUCUAUCUGCUGAUGCAAAUGUAUGAUUGGUGUUACUACUACCCUGCUAUUAUUAGGAUCUAUGAUUUCAGCUUUCUAUCUUGAACUUCAAUGUGUAAUUCUGUAGCAUGGCAGUUGAAUAUUCAUAAUUAACAGCUUAUGAUCCAUUGAACAGGAGCACUUUGUUAUGCGCUGUUGAUAAAGCUCCUGAAGAAUCUCUCAAGAAGGCGAUUGAAGUGGAUAGGCUGAUUGAUAUGCUCUCAGAAGCAAAUUCUAGAGAGCUUGAUCAAAUAGUGUCUGAAAAUGUUCUGGUGUUUGAUGUUGGUUUCUGGGUUCGGCUGGCAGGUACAAUUGACCCUCUGCAAAUCAGAUGAUAAUAAAGCAUGGUUUCACGAAUGAAUACAGUUUGCCUUCCUAUCGAUGUAAUUAUCUUCUUUAUCGAUGAAUGUAACUUUGCAUUGUUGACCGGCUUGUCCGCAAGACUGGUGCAAGAACCAUGUUCCAUCGUGCAUAAGUCCUCAUAUAGUACAGAAAAAAAUUGAACAACCAAUUGAUGUGCGGAAGGCAGUAAUUAAUCCUGCAAUGCAUGAUGAGAUGUCAAGUGGCCACCAAGGGAUCCAAGAUGCUCUUGAAUUGAUGGAGAAAGCAAGGCCACAUCUCCUAUUUUUCUGCAUACUUUCUGUUGGUGCUGGCCUUUACAUGCAUUUUAUCUCGGUCUUGUUUUUAGAAUGCCUGUAAAGUUAAACCUUGUUACAUUGUCAUCUGCAUUAAUUGAAAAGAUGUGUUGUGCGAAUAUGAUGUUCAUGACAAAGAUCCAAUUCAGGUUACGCUUUACCAAUGCCUGUUGUUACCAUUGUCUCUGCUUUUCAACCAACAUUUCUUUCAGGCUCGAAAAUUUUGAUUAACAAACUGUAUUUUCUUUGUGUCACAUUCUGUACAUUGAAAAGCCAAACUGCCGUUUUUCCCCAGAUUUCUUAUAUGAUUUUUUCAUGGCAUCCUGAUAUUCCCAGGAAUUAUCACACUGUCACGAUCCUAGGAUCAUUAGGGUAAACACCACCUGGAAGAUAGGCAGGCGAAGUCGGCUUAAGUCGGCUUGGAGGGAGACUAGACUAUUUGGGGGAUUUGAGACUAAUUCUUCUCCAUUGAUUGCUUGAUUUGAGAUUGACAGUACCAUGUGCCUGCCUUUAUAGAGAUAGGCUGCACUGCACACGUGCACAACCUCCAAGCAAUAGAUCUAACAAACUAACAAUCCUACCUUAUCUAACUGACUUAAAGGCUUUAUCCUAACUAA